This is a long non-coding RNA of Papaver somniferum (opium poppy), 1325 nucleotides long. RefSeq lists it as uncharacterized. Lineage: Eukaryota; Viridiplantae; Streptophyta; Magnoliopsida; Ranunculales; Papaveraceae. The record is from RefSeq and is a predicted model, not a curated record. The transcript is spliced from 7 exons.
CUGUAAACAUUUUCUUUUUUCAAUCUCAAUUUUGAACCAUUUUUUUCUCCUUCUUAAGUGGUAAUGAUAAUCUGAAAAACCCCUAAAUCGAAUAUUGAAUCUUGUUUUCCUGCUGGUAAAUGAUAAUCUCAAAAACUUGUGACUGUAGUUGGUUGUUUGAGUCUGAUUUAGUAUUUGAAAACCCAGAUCUAGUUUUGUUUUACUGAAGCUUUGAGCGGUGAAGAUCGAGCAUAGCUUGUAGGUACUCUUAAGGGUAAGCUAAUGCCAUUGUCACAAGGAGCAAAAUCUGAAUUUCUUGAUUCCCUUUCAAUAAACGUGUUGAAGCUCCGCAAGAGAUUCAGGAAAGCAUCUCCAGAAUCUUUAAUGUUGCACGUCGAUCAGCUCACUAGGAAUGUGAAUGAGGGACAUCUGAAGGAGAUUUUUGCAAUGGGUGCUUCUCUGAGUGCCUAAGAAGGUCUUUUGAGAAACACCAUAGAUUUCUAUGUCCCAGUGUCGUGGAACUGUACGAUUUGUUGGUAGAAACCACUUUUUGCAUAACAUCGAGGAGGAAAUACUACAUGCUGACUCUUAACUAAGACGUGGAAGUGAUUAAACCACCUCGUUGAAUAAAUGUGCUUCCAUUAAAUCAAAUCUUGUCAUUAACUCAGCUAAAAGGUCAAGGUGGAAAAGACCACAUUCACCAUCACCGACAGAGGAAAAUGAAGCUGCAGAUAUUUCAUGUCCUCAAUGUGUGUUGGAGUUGAACAAUAUCUGAUUUUUGAAUGGAAAGUAGUUGCAGUGAGGAAAAAGGAUGUUGCGGAGUCGUCAUCAUCUUUGGACAAUCACUAAUUCAAAGAUAAGUUUUUGUUUCCGUUUGUUCAACCCUUUACAUAAUAUUUAUAUGAAAACCUAUGCAUUUGAGCUCGACAAGAACUGAUGCAAUGCAUUAUAAUGCAAACCAUGAUAUGUAGAAUGAAUCUGAAGGGAUGGAGAGCUAUAGCCGUUGUUGAAUAUUAACCACAAUUACAGCUGUCAAAACUUGCACAAGACAAGCUAAAAAAGUCAUGGUGAAUAGCUGCAAAGCUUUAAACUGGGUUUGUGCAUCUUGACUGUCGGAAGAAGAUUCUCCAUGAUAACUGAUAGCCGAACCUGGCUGCUGAGUUUAGCCAAUUUGUUAUCUUAAGCUCGUAAUUAUAUGAAUGUAGGUUAAGGUUUUCCAACUUACUGUUAGAAUUUUUUGGGACUUUGAACUUGCAGUAUUUUAGAUAGUUGAAAUUAUAAACUGAAUACACUUUAAGUACAAAUUGAGUUUUAAGGUUAUUAUCAAUUUAAUUUUGUUAAGUUCA